This 468-nucleotide ribosomal RNA is filed under the name uncultured bacterium. RNAcentral's name for it is "partial 16S ribosomal RNA". It matches the Rfam family "Bacterial small subunit ribosomal RNA", at positions 28 to 507 of the family's 1533-position model. The record is from RNAcentral.
GACGAACGCUGGCGGCGUGCCUAACACAUGCAAGUCGAACGGAAAGGCCCUGCUUUUGUGUGGUUCUCGCGUGGCGAACGGGUGAGAAACCCGUGAGUAACCUGCCCUUGACUUUGUGAUAUCUUCAGGAAACUGCGGCUAAUACCUGCUAGGAGCUCCUGCUGCUUGGUGGGGGUUGGAAAGUUUCGGUGGUUGGGGAUAGACUGGCGGGUUAUUAGCUUGUUGGUGGGGUAGUGGCUUACCAAGGCUUUGACGGGUAGCCGGCACGGGAGGGUGAACAGCGACAUGGGGACUGAGAGACGGACCAGACGCGUACGGGAGGCAGCAGUGGGGAAUAUUGCACAAUGGGCGGAAGCCUGAUGCAGCAACGCCGCGUGCGGGAUGACGGCCUUCGGGUUGUAAACCGCUUUCACCUGUGACGAAGCGUGAGUGACGGUAAUGGGUAAAGAAGCACCGGCUAACUACGUG